Molecule: ribosomal RNA, 553 nt
Filed under: Parlatoria leucaspis
Lineage: Eukaryota; Metazoa; Arthropoda; Insecta; Hemiptera; Diaspididae
Description: partial 28S ribosomal RNA
Source: RNAcentral
AUCUGGGCGGCGGAAUUCAGGAUGACGGGCGUGUCUUCGCGGAGGCGCGUUCGUCGUUUGAUAUUUCCGUCGCCGACUCAACCCGCAGACGUCGCGACCUGUUCGCGGUCGGUCCCUGCUCGGAGGAGUCACGUUCGAGUUUGUUGCGUGCGCGUUUCUGCGCGUCACGCGGCAAAGGCGUGAAUCUCUGGCUGGCCGUCGGACAGUACGUUCAACGGUGUCCGGUGUCGUCGUCUCGUACGCGCGCGCACCGGUACCGGUCAGCGACGAAUUCUUCGGGCCUCUUUCCGACCCGUCUUGAAACACGGACCAAGGAGUCUAACAUGCGCGCGAGUCGCGGGGUGUCGAACGUACCACGGUGCGUUCGUUACGUUGCGAAACCCGUACAUGUCGAAGGCGUAAUGAAAGUAAAUGGGGAAGAUGGUGUUCCGAGUACACGUUCCGCGGUCAUUGGUACCGCGGCCGGACACCCGCAUUCCCGGGGCGUCUCAACGGCCCGUCGCGGAUGCGGACAGUCGUCUUUCGGGGCGGCUGUCGGUCUGCGACGAACCGA